Molecule: unclassified non-coding RNA, 238 nt
Filed under: Hevea brasiliensis (rubber tree)
Lineage: Eukaryota; Viridiplantae; Streptophyta; Magnoliopsida; Malpighiales; Euphorbiaceae
Source: RNAcentral
CCCCCGCCCACGGGAGCGCUCAAUUACUAUACCAAAGAAGCCCACAACACCUUUGGCAUCUACUGGUGAUUACUUCGCUGUCGGACAGGUCGUCAUCCGCAUGAGUCGCAAGUGACGUAAUAUUCGCUGUUCUCGCGAAGAGACUCGAACCCUCGACUCCAAGAUUAGAAGUCAGAGUGCUUCUGUUCGCCAACCCAUCAUCGCGGCUUCGAUUGCUUCAAGCUCGGUUUCCAGUAGU